UUCUCACUUUCUGUUACAGCAAAUCUCUCUGUCUUUCUGUCUCUCCCUGUGUCUCUGUCUCCAAAAAGAAGAACAAAAAAGAACACACUCCAAAUGCAAGCACUGCUGCAUUUAUGGAGAAAGAGAACAGGAAGAGCUUUCACACCAUACAUCUCCACCCCUCCCCACCUCCUAUCCCCCCCCCAUCUCUCUCUCCCUCUCUCCUCUCUCCCUCUCUCUCUCUCUCUCUCUCUCUCUCUCUCUCUGUAGUCACUGCAGCGUGUCUAAUGGUUCAGCUCCUUCUCAGCAGAUCCACCACGCGGAGGCCAGGCGAGCAGCAGCAGCAGCCCCCGACUAACGCCUCCCAACCACUGGCCUUAUCAAGACUGACAGGCCAGAAACGUGGGUGCUCUCAUGCUGGACCAGACUGUUUAUGGACUGAAGUAUUCAGGUAAAAUUGCUCAACAGAAAAUUAUUUGGUAACUGUUUUGAAAAGCACAGAAUCACUUUUGUUAUUUCAAAAGCAAAACCAUUUGUUCCAGUUUCUUGAAUGAGCAGAUUUCAGGGCUUUUUUGUCAUAUAGAGACUUUGUACAGACUAAAUGAUUUAUCAAUUAUGUAGAAAAAUAUUCAGAAGAUUAAUUGAUAAUGAAAAUAAUUGUCUGGAUCAGCUCCUGAAUGGAUGUGGUGAAACUGUUUUGUUGGCAACAGCGUUUCAUGUAAACAACAUGCUGUAUCUCAUCUUGAAUCAACAAAUACUUUUGUAAGCCACUUCAGAUAAGAGAAGCAUCUGA
Long non-coding RNA from Lates calcarifer (barramundi perch), 772 nucleotides. RefSeq lists it as uncharacterized. Lineage: Eukaryota; Metazoa; Chordata; Actinopteri; Centropomidae. The transcript has 3 exons. The record is from RefSeq and is a predicted model, not a curated record.